RNAcentral lists this ribosomal RNA (96 nucleotides) under Cricetibacter osteomyelitidis. Its description in RNAcentral is "partial 16S ribosomal RNA". It matches the Rfam family "Bacterial small subunit ribosomal RNA", at positions 1440 to 1533 of the family's 1533-position model. The record is from RNAcentral. Lineage: Bacteria; Pseudomonadati; Pseudomonadota; Gammaproteobacteria; Pasteurellales; Pasteurellaceae.
CGAGAGGGGGGCGUUCACCACGGUAUGAUUCAUGACUGGGGUGAAGUCGUAACAAGGUAACCGUAGGGGAACCUGCGGUUGGAUCACCUCCUUACU